GUUUUGGUCCCUCUGCUGUGGGCAAAUUGGAAUCUCAGCUUAUAUUCAGAAUCAACAAAUACAUCCCAGGGGAGAAAAAGACCAGCAAUCACAGGGAAGGACCCUUUCCUGCACAGAUGUCAUAUACGGUCUCCAGCUUCAAGAUAUAAAGGAGAGCUCUUUUCGUGCCUAGCGCAACCAUGGCUCAUGGUCCCAAGAAACAUCUGAAGUGAGCAGCAGCUCCAAAGCAUUGGAUGCUGGGUAAAUUGACCAGCGUUUGCUCCUCAUCCAUCUACUGGUCCCUACAAGCUGAGGUACUGUCUCCUCCUCAUCAUUUUCCUAAGGGACAGACUUAAGUAUGCCCUAACUGGAGAUGAAGUAAAGAAGAUUUGCAUGCAGUAGUUCAUUAAGAUUGAUGGCAAGCUCCAAACCAAUAUAGCCUAUGCUGCUGGUUUUUUGGAUGUCAUCAGCAUUCACAAGACUGGUGAGAAUUUCCGUCUGAUCUAUGGCUCCAAGGAUAGCUUUCCUGUUGACCGUAUUACACCUGAGGAGGCCGAGUAUCACUUGUGCAAAGUGAGAAGGAUCUUUAUGGCAUGAAAGGAAACCCUCAUCUGGUGAUCCAUGAUGCUCACACCAUCCGCUAC
RNAcentral lists this long non-coding RNA (623 nucleotides) under Equus caballus (horse). Its description in RNAcentral is "lncRNA (ENSECAG00000051391.1)". The record is from RNAcentral. Lineage: Eukaryota; Metazoa; Chordata; Mammalia; Perissodactyla; Equidae.